GACGAACGCUGGCGGCGUGCCUAAUACAUGCAAGUUGAGCGCUGAAGGUUGGUACUUGUACCGACUGGAUGAGCAGCGAACGGGUGAGUAACGCGUGGGGAAUCUGCCUUUGAGCGGGGGACAACAUUUGGAAACGAAUGCUAAUACCGCAUAAAAACUUUAAACACAAGUUUUAAGUUUGAAAGAUGCAAUUGCAUCACUCAAAGAUGAUCCCGCGUUGUAUUAGCUAGUUGGUGAGGUAAAGGCUCACCAAGGCGAUGAUACAUAGCCGACCUGGGAGGGUGGUCGGCCAAAUUGGGACUGAGACACGGCCCAAACGCCUACGGGAGGCAGCAGUAGGGAAUCUUCGGCAAUGGACGAAAGUCUGACCGAGCAACGCCGCGGGAGGGAAGAAGGUUGUCGGAUCGGAAAACUCGGUUGGUAGAGAAGAACGUUGGUGAGAGUGGAAAGCUCAUCAAGUGACGGUAACUACCCAGAAAGGGACGGCUAACUACGUG
RNAcentral lists this ribosomal RNA (497 nucleotides) under uncultured bacterium. RNAcentral describes it as "partial 16S ribosomal RNA". It matches the Rfam family "Bacterial small subunit ribosomal RNA", at positions 28 to 507 of the family's 1533-position model. The record is from RNAcentral.